RNAcentral lists this ribosomal RNA (433 nucleotides) under uncultured bacterium. RNAcentral describes it as "partial 16S ribosomal RNA". It matches the Rfam family "Bacterial small subunit ribosomal RNA", at positions 29 to 507 of the family's 1533-position model. The record is from RNAcentral.
AGCGAACGCUGGCGGCAGGCCUAACACAUGCAAGUCGAACGGAUCCUUCGGGAUUAGUGGCGGACGGGUGAGUAACACGUGGGAACGUGCCCUUUGGUUCGGAACAACUCCGGGAAACUUGAGCUAAUACCGGAUGUGCUCUUCGGGGGAAAGAUUUAUCGCCAUUGGAGCGGCCCGCGUUUGAUUAGCUAGUUGGUGAGGUAACGGCCCACCAAGGCGACGAUCCGUAGCUGGUCUGAGAGGAUGAUCAGCCACACUGGGACUGAGACACGGCCCAGACCCCUACGGGAGGCAGCAGUGGGGAAUCUUGCGCAAUGGGCGAAAGCCUGACGCAGCCAUGCCGCGUGAAUGAUGAAGGUCUUAGGAUUGUAAAGUUCUUUCAGCGGGGACGAUAAUGACGGUACCCGCAGAAUAAGCUCCGGCUAACUUCGUG